AGGAUGGUAGAGUUCUGAUAGGGGAAUCUCAAAUCAAACAGAGGUGGCAGGCGUACUUUCGGGACCUUCUUAAUGAGGAGGGGGAUCGAAGCAUAGAGCUAGGAGAGUUAGGGCAUUCAGAGCAACAUAGAGACCUUGGGUACUGCAGGCGCAUUAGGGUGGAGGAGGUCUUAGGGGCGUUGCGUAGGAUGAGUAGGGA
This 199-nucleotide long non-coding RNA is filed under the name Nicotiana benthamiana. RNAcentral describes it as "long non-coding RNA (NBEN_LNC008208)". The record is from RNAcentral. Lineage: Eukaryota; Viridiplantae; Streptophyta; Magnoliopsida; Solanales; Solanaceae.